Molecule: ribosomal RNA, 1616 nt
Filed under: Spea bombifrons (plains spadefoot toad)
Lineage: Eukaryota; Metazoa; Chordata; Amphibia; Anura; Pelobatidae
Description: 16S ribosomal RNA
Rfam family: Bacterial large subunit ribosomal RNA
Source: RNAcentral
GCCUAAAAUCUAGCUCAUCUACACAUUCCGUAAAACAACCCACCACCUCAAUAACAAUAAACUAAAACAUUCUCUAUCUUUAGUAUAGGCGAUAGAAAAAGAACAUGAAGCCAUAGAACCAGUACCGCAAGGGAACGAUGAAAUAGAAAUGAAACAAAUAUUAAAGCACCAAAAAGCAAAGAUCAGCUCUUGUACCUUUUGCAUCAUGGUCUAGCUAGUCUACCAAAGCAAAAAGAAUUGAAGUUUUCCUUCCCGAAACUAAGCGAGCUACUUCGGGGCAGCUAAAGAGCUAACCCUUCUCUGUGGCAAAAGAGUGGGAUGACCCCCAAGUAGCGGUGACAGACCUAACGAGCUUAGUGAUAGCUGGUUACUCAAGAAAUGAAUUUUAGUUCAGCCUUAAGAACCCAUAGCAAUCUAAAGCAACCCAGAUUCUUAAGAGUUAUUCUAUAGAGGUACAGCUCUACAGAAAAAGGAUACAACCUAACCCCAUGGGUAAUGAUCAUAAACACCAAGGACUAAGAAAAAGUUGGCCUAAAAGCAGCCACCUUAAAAGAUAGCGUCACAGCUCUACCUUCCACCUCCUUCAAAUCCUGAUACCACCAUCAGAACCCUAUCUCACAUUGAGUAAUCCUAUACCUAUAUAGGAGUAUUAAUGCUAGAACUAGUAACUCAGAAUUAACAAUUCUCUUCAUGCAAGUGUAUAUCAGAUUGAAUAACUCACUGAUAAUUAACAGCCUUUCAGAAAGCAGUGUAUUAACUCUUCAAGAAAACUAUACACCUCAAACUGUUAACCUUACACAAGGGCAUGCCAAGAAAGAUUAAAAGAUAUAGAAGGAACUCGGCAAAUCUAGGUCCCGCCUGUUUACCAAAAACAUCGCCUCUUGCUUCUCCAGUAUAAGAGGUCCCGCCUGCCCAGUGACUAUAUGUUAAACGGCCGCGGUAUUCUGACCGUGCGAAGGUAGCGUAAUCAUUUGUCUUUUAAAUGAGGACUUGUAUGAAUGGCAUCACGAAGACCUUACUGUCUCCUAUAUCCAAUCAGUGAAACUGAUCUCCCCGUGAAGAAGCGGGGAUUUCACCAUAAGACGAGAAGACCCCAUGGAGCUUUAAACUUAAACCACCUGCUUAACCCUUUACUCCUACGGGAUAAUCAAUUAAUCAAGCAGCACUGGCUUAUGUUUUCGGUUGGGGCGACCACGGAGAAUAAUAAAUCCUCCAUGAUGAAAGAACACCUCUUAACCAAGAGCCACAGCUCUAAGUAUUAGAAUUUCUAACCUUAAUUGAUCCAAUCUUAUUGAUCAACGAACCAAGUUACCCUGGGGAUAACAGCGCAAUCCAUUUCAAGAGUCCAUAUCGACAAAUGGGUUUACGACCUCGAUGUUGGAUCAGGGCAUCCUAGUGGUGCAGCCGCUACUAAUGGUUCGUUUGUUCAACGAUUAAAGCCCUACGUGAUCUGAGUUCAGACCGGAGUAAUCCAGGUCAGUUUCUAUCUAUGUAGAUUCCCCCCUAGUACGAAAGGACCGGGGAGAUAGAGCCUCUUACAUAUUAAGCUCUAACCUUAUAUUAGUGAAACCAUCUCAACUAAAAACAGGCCUAACAAAUACCCCUAAACAAGGGAC